AGAGUUUGAUCCUGGCUCAGGAUGAACGCUAGCGGCAGGCUUAACACAUGCAAGUCGAGGGGUAUGGUAGCAAUACCAGAGACCGGCAAACGGGUGCGGAACACGUACAGAACCUACCUUUACCUGGGGCAUAGCCCGGAGAAAUCCGGAUUAACUCCCCAUAACAUAUAUGAAAGGCAUCUUUUGAAUAUUAAAAAUUU
Molecule: ribosomal RNA, 200 nt
Filed under: uncultured bacterium
Lineage: Bacteria
Description: partial 16S ribosomal RNA
Rfam family: Bacterial small subunit ribosomal RNA
Source: RNAcentral